Molecule: long non-coding RNA, 386 nt
Organism: Vigna unguiculata (cowpea)
Lineage: Eukaryota; Viridiplantae; Streptophyta; Magnoliopsida; Fabales; Fabaceae
Source: RefSeq, a predicted model, not a curated record
UCAGCAGCCGUCGCCCUUCCGCACUAGAGCUCUGCUAGGGUUUGUUCUUGUCUCGAACCAGUUCGUCCCGACUAACGAUUCCUGCUCCACUUCCUAGGUCCAUCACUCGAGCUGCUGUGCUCCAAGGUCCCGCGUCGAAGUUCUGUUAGCCGCUUUCCAGAUGGGCGAGGUCCUCGUGGUCAGCAAGGAAAUGGAGAUUCUGCCGCUUAGUCCGCGUGGAUUGGAGUAUAUUCGUUGUUGUACUUUUCUUUAGGGCUAUGGCCCUGUAUGUCGUUGUUCUUGGUUUUGUAAACUUUCGGUCGAACCGUUAUUCUGUUUUGGUUGGCAUCGCGUUAUGCCUAGUUGUAGAGGUAGCUUUAUGAACCCCGGGACUGCAUUGUUGAUUA